This is a long non-coding RNA of Hipposideros armiger (great roundleaf bat), 531 nucleotides long. RefSeq lists it as uncharacterized. The transcript has 3 exons. Lineage: Eukaryota; Metazoa; Chordata; Mammalia; Chiroptera; Hipposideridae. The record is from RefSeq and is a predicted model, not a curated record.
GAAAGUAAACAGACAUCCACAGAUGCUUUCAUUGAUGAAGGAGUAAAGGGCAGGCGCAGAUCAGCCUCCCCAUCUUCAAGGGCAGCUCAGAACCACCUCCACAUGGAGGAGACAGCUCUUCCUAGUCAUCCUCAGUGACUGCCCUGACCUUGAACACCAACAGCACCUGAGAGGCUCAUCCCCGUUAGACGCCAUUUACGCACAGCAGUGGGAUUUUCAUUUCCAAAACCAGCAAUCUUAAGAGCCUGAAGGAAACUUUCAAGUCAACCAGUUAGACCCCUUCCUAACCUUUUCAGUACCCUUCUCAGACAGUCUUUAAAAAUUAAAUUCAACUAUUUCAGGUUAUUUUUUUCCCAUCAUUUAAUCUUCACCGUCCCCUUCUUUACUAUUCUCAUAUCUGGCUCAUAAUGUAAAUGAGAAAGAAAAGGGCCAAGUACCAAAUAAAGGAAAGUAGAAAGAGUUUUAAAGAAGAAAAAUGGUGGUCCUUCUGUAUCUGUUAUAUACUCCCUGUUUACCUGCCUCUUCCUUCAU